RNAcentral lists this transfer RNA (70 nucleotides) under Gigantura indica (telescopefish). RNAcentral describes it as "tRNA-Pro". It matches the Rfam family "tRNA". From Rfam's summary of the family: Transfer RNA (tRNA) molecules are approximately 80 nucleotides in length. The record is from RNAcentral. Lineage: Eukaryota; Metazoa; Chordata; Actinopteri; Aulopiformes; Giganturidae.
CAGGAAGUAGUUUAAUUGAGAAUUCUAGCUUUGGGAGCUAGCGGUGGGAGUUAAAAUCUCCUCUUCCUGA